ACGCUGGCGGCGUGCCUAACACAUGCAAGUCGAACGGGACUUAGUAGAAAGCGGCUUCGGCCAAUGGAAGCUAAGUUUAGCGGCGGACGGGUGAGUAACGCGUGAGCAACCUUUCUCUCAGUGGGGAAUAACACAGGGAAACCUGUACUAAUACCGCAUGAGACCACAGUACCGCAUGGUGCAGGGGUCAAAGAUUAAUCGCUGAGAGGUGGGCUCGCGUCCGAUUAGAUAGUUGGUGAGGUAACGGCUCACCAAGUCGACGAUCGGUAGCCGACCUGAGAGGGUGAUCGGCCACAUUGGGACUGAGACACGGCCCAGACUCCUACGGGAGGCAGCAGUGGGGAAUAUUGGGCAAUGGGGGAAACCCUGACCCAGCAACGCCGCGUGAAGGAAGAAGGCCUUCGGGUUGUAAACUUCUUUUACCAGGGACGAAGAAAGUGACGGUACCUGGAGAAAAAGCAACGGCUAACUACGUG
RNAcentral lists this ribosomal RNA (476 nucleotides) under uncultured bacterium. RNAcentral's name for it is "bacterial SSU rRNA". It matches the Rfam family "Bacterial small subunit ribosomal RNA", at positions 33 to 507 of the family's 1533-position model. The record is from RNAcentral.